UCACUACUCACUUCCCUAACUUCAUUGUCUUUUUACUCUUCACUUCUUUGCAUUCUGUGCUGACCUUACUCCUUUUCUCACUUUCUUCUUCAGUUAUUAUUCCCAUCCCUUUCUCUCUCCACUCCUUCUCUCUCCUCAAAACCCCACAUUCUAUAACAAAAGCUCCCAUCUUUCUUUUACCAAAUACAUUUUUCAUCUUUCAACCCUAAAGCUCAGAAGAAAAUAGAGUUUACCCAUUACUUCUGUCUUUUAAUACCUCUUUUUCUCUUAUGCCCUUUAUCUGUUUGUGAAAAUGUUGAGCUAAAAACUCUCAUUGGCAUUAAAACUUCUCUUGACCCUCAUAACACCUUCCUUUCUUCUUGGAAUGAAAAUGGGGAUCCUUGUAAGACAUUUGAGGGUCUUGCUUGUAAUGAGAUUGGCUAAGUGGCUAAUAUUUCAUUGCAAGGUAAAGGACUUGAUGGGAUUUUACCUUCUUCCAUUGGUGAGCUCAAGAACUUAUCUGGGUUGUACCUGCAUUUCAAUAGGUUAAGUGGAGAAAUACCUAAAGAAAUUACUGGUUUAACUCAACAAACUGAUCUGUAUUUAGAUGUUAAUUAUUUUAGUGGCAGCAUUCCUGAAGAAAUUGAAAAUCUCUCUAAUUCGCAAGUUUUCCAGCUUUGUUAUAAUAAGUUAAGUGGGAAUGUCCCUACAAAGAUAGGUUCCCUUAAGAAGCUCGAGGUUCUUGCUCUGCAGUAUAAUCAAUUAACUAGUGCAAUUCCAGCUAGUUUGAGAGAGUUGGACAUGUUAACUAGGUUGGAUUUAAGCUUUAAUAGGUUAUUUGGUCCAAUUCCUGUCAAGUUAGCUGAAGCACCCUUGCUUCGAAUCUUUUAUGUUCGAAACAAUUCUCUUUCUGGCAAUGAACCUGCUGCUUUGCUUAGAUUGAGUGAUGAAUUCCAGUAUCAGAAUAAUCCAGGUUUAUGUGGGGUUGGGUUUGCUUCCUGAGAGUUUGCACUGAUUCUGAUGACCAGAAUCGAAAUAAACCUGAAGCUUUUACAUCGGUUCUGGUGGGUCAGGGAAUACAGUUAUACCCGAAUCAGCAAACCUCCCCAUAAAUUGCAGCCGAACACAAUGCUCUAACAGCUCUAAAUCCUCACAUGCUGGUUUAAUUUCCGGGGUAGUUUUAAUUUUUUUGGUCACAGUCGUUGGUCUUUCGAUGUUCUCAUGGUAUCGACGCAGAAAACAAAAGAUUGCAAGCAAUGUGAAUAAUGCUGAUGGUCGGCUUAGCAUUGAUCAUGUUAUGGAUGUUUAUAGGAAUGUUGCACCCCUCAUUAGUCUUGAAUAUUCAAAUGGGUGGGAUCCUCUAGGAAAAGGUUCCCAAGAUUUAUUUGAGAAUUAUGUUCAAUAUGGAAGAUGUAGAAUCUGCUACUCAGCACUUCUCUGAAGUGAAUUUCCUAGGGCGAAGUAAUUACUCAGCUGUUUACAAAGUACAUUAGGCGAGCAAGGCAAGCAGGAUCUAGGAAGCACUAGCAGCCUCGAAAAGUCGAAAACCCUAAUUUUUCUUUCUAGUUUCUCUUCUCCUCUAACCUCGUCCUCUAGUCCUCCGCCUCUGCGACAUCACCAUCGCCAUAGCCAUCGCCAGCCGUUUACUCCGCUUCAGUGGAGACUCCAGGUAUUCCAUUUCUUUAAUUUUUCUUUAAUUUUUCUUUGUAAUGUGUUGAAGAUUAUAAAGAUAUACCAGUGGCCUACUGGGUAUUAAUUUUCUCCAUUUCUUGUUCUAGAAUCAUCUAACUUGUAAUAUAUUUUGUGGGAUCUCAAGAAACUGACUUGUUUAAAUUUUGCAUGUUGAUCUUAAUAUUCUUGAUCUGAAAAUUUGGGUCUUUUGAAACUAUAAGUGGGUCUUGUUUACUUUGCACUUUUAUUUUUCUUUAUUGGGAUCUAUUUUUUUAAUUUCAUUUUGUUAGCUUAAAAGUCUUCUUUUUCGGGUUUUCUGCUGCAAAAGGAUUAUGAUAUCAGUUCUUAUUUAGAUUGUAUAUGUAUAUAUUUUGUAGUGCUAGUUAUGAUACUUAUGAAUGUUAAUUUUUUUGAUUUAUAUGUAAGUUUUAGCCUUUCUGUUUUGGAAUGUUAUAAGUUUUGUUUUCUUAAGUUGCUAAUUCUUUGUAAUUUUGAAGCAUCAAAUAGGACUAUGUCAGUAUCACUGUAAUUUUGAUCAAAAAUCUUUGUAAUUUUUAAUUAUGUAUUUAGACAAGUGUUUUUACGUUUUAGUAAUUAUUUUGUAUUUGAAUUUCAUGGACUCGAACAAGUAUUUGUAAUACGAUAAUAAGUUGCUUACAAAAAUACAAAAAAACUCGAAAAAGGUUCAAUUUUGACAAAUUAAAAAGGCUUUGUAUAAGACCUAUUAAGGACCCUAGACCCUGUCAGACCCGUAGGGUCCGGGUCCGGGUCUGAAAAUUUUGGACCCUUAGGGUCCGGAUCCGGGUCUGGAUCCAAAAAAAUAGGGUCCGGGUCCGGGUCCGGAUCUGGCCAGACCCGCCCCAUGACCAUCCCUAUUAGUAUUACACUAUCGCAAAAGUUGUUACAGAAGUAUUCCUUGUGGAUUCAGUAUGUGACCAAAUAAUAUGGGUGCACUUGAAAAGUUUUGCCACACAUUUAGAGAUAAAGUUAUAAAACUUCUUACACUCUCAAAAAACCUAGAGAGAAAAGCUUUCAUCAUAAAUGUAUACUCUUUUAUUGUCGAUUCAUCAUCUCUCUGUCCUGGUUUUUUUUACCAAGAUCUGAACCUUGUGAGUUAUAACCGGAGUUCGCCUUGGGCUUAUGCACAAAAUGAGAUGGGUUUCUAACUAAUACAACAAAUAAUGACUAUAGUACAUUACUCAAAUGUCAUUUUAUGACCCUUGUUUAAGCGGUAUUAGGAUUUCACAUGAAUGUAACCCUAUCCUUGUAAAGGACAUCAUCAUUAUCAUCAUCAUUAUCAUUAUUAUACCCGGUAUAUCUUUGUAAAGGACAUAUUCUCUCCAAUUAUUUACAAACUUAGUUCAGUUAAGCUCAUUUAUUUUUAAUUCUAUUCAAUUCAAUUUAGUACUUUACUUUUAUUCUCAUAACUCAUAUUCAUUCAGUUUAAUUUAAUUCAUUUCACAUAAUUGAUUUCUAGUUCUAUUCUCCUAUAGAGCAUAUCUUUAUUGUUCUGAUUGACUAUUGAUAGGGUGUCAUCUGAUAACAAGAAAAAUUUCUCCUCAAAUCAUUAUUUCCAAUAGUGGAGAAUACAAGUUUCCUACCUUUGAGCUCUAGUUUAGACCCAUUACUCAUGAUUAAGCUAAAGAAAUAAACUCUUGGUCCAAAAUACAACUACACCUCCAAAAAAUGCAGACAAUAUUUAUCACAACUGAACAUGUGAAUGGACCCAUAAAUUUUAAAAGGAUACUAUUACUAAUAUAACACCUAGUGUCACAAACAAACAAGGUAAGUUCCAUCAUUGGAAAUUGACACAAAGAAGAAAUUAAAACUCACUAUUUUUACAGAAUUUCUUUUAUUUGUCUUUCAUGUGAACCUUUAUUGUCUUGUUUACCAAGAGCCAAGAGCUAUUGUCCAACUUAUGUAUUCUCCUUUUCAGUUCCCAUUCUGUUCAUUACCACAAUUUUUAUUCUACUGAGACUACUGAAAUAAUCUUUGCUGAUAUUUUUACUUUUUCUCCCCAUAAUAUCCUCCUGUUCUGGUAAAGCGGUUCUCCUAAUGAUGACUAGAGUUGUGCAUUCAGUUGUUUUUGAGUUUGAGUCGGUUGCAAUUCAGUUUGAUUGAGAUUUGGGUUAAUUAUACUUCGAGCCUAAUUUGGAGUCACUUCAGGUCAUAGUCGGGCCAAGAGCCUUAUUUACUUUCCUACUAGUAAGAGAAGGCUGAUUGUCAAUUGUUUCUGUUAAAACAAGUACCAAUAAUUUUAAUGAUGACGUUAACUUUAAACAUAUAAUCGAACAUGCUUUGUCUUGUACUUUAAAGAGGGUCGAUAAAGAUGUGUCGAAUAUGGGUGGUUUAAGGUUUGGAACAGUUGAUGAGAGUUGCUUGAUCAAAGCAACAAAUAAAGAAGCAGAACAGUGAGUGGCUCAACCAACCGCUCGAUCGAGUGAAGUAUUGCUCGACCGGUCGAGCGGUGUUGGCUCGGUCGAGCAAGGUGUGCAGAACAAGUCAGUAGCUUCUCUGGAAGCUCGCUCGACCGAGCGAGGUAGUGGCUCGGGUUGAGCGGAAGUUCAGCAGACUACAUUGGAUCCUGUUUUUGGUCAGAAUGUGAAGUGACUAUGCAAUAAUGUGGUGCAUUACUUCUAUUGUUUAUUGUAAUGUUUAUUGUCAUAGUUAAUUAGAUGUUAAUUGAGUUGUUACAUGUAUGUUUAUGGUGAUUUAUGAGGGACUACUAAGAGUGAUGAAUAUCUUGGCUAUAAAUAGGAUUCAUCACUCAUAGUAACAUUCACCACAAACACACAUAUUGUUGAGAGGGAUAUUGCAUUGUUAGAAACUUGAGAGUGUUCUUACUUUGCUUUAGUAUUUGUGAUCUUGAGAGAUUGUUCUCAAGAUAAGGGUGGUUUAUUAUACUUGUAAUUGUUGAAUUCAUUAUAAUAAACUAUAUUUGAGGGGGAGGUAUUCAAGAUACCUCAUAAACACUUGUGUU
Molecule: long non-coding RNA, 4630 nt
Organism: Amaranthus tricolor (Joseph's coat)
Lineage: Eukaryota; Viridiplantae; Streptophyta; Magnoliopsida; Caryophyllales; Amaranthaceae
Exons: 4
Source: RefSeq, a predicted model, not a curated record